AUGAAAGUGGAAACUGAUCCCCUUCAUCUGGAUGUUAGGCAAAAGCUUGCCAAGUCCCUGAGCAAGAUAUAUUCCCUGCGGUGGCUGAACGUUACCGACCGUGUUAGGGACGGUCAAUAUUUGGACUUUAUACAUGACAUCAACCCACCGCCGCGGCUCCUCAGGUAUCUUAGGAUCGGCUCCGGCAUUAGCAAAUUGCCUGAGUGGAUCCGGUCACUGAAUUAUCUUACAGAGCUUUUCCUGUCUUGGACAUACUUGGAUGGUGACAAACUGUUUGGCCCAGUAUGUAAGCUGCCAAAUCUGUGGCACAUACACCUGGAGGCUUGCUACUACGUGGGUAGAGAACUAGUUGCAGAAACUGCCCACGACUUUCCAGCGCUCAAGUACCUGUACCUGAACUUUGAUAUUGAAGGUAUGGAAGUUCUCAGAUUUGAGGAAAAAUCAAUGUCAAAGCUCGAGAAACUCCAGGUGAGGUUUCUACACAGAGAAUCUAAGAUAAUCCAAGGCAUGGAGAAUUUGACAAGCCUUAAAGAUGUGGUGCUCGAAGGAAACAAAGACAACCCUGCAUUGGACGGUGCAGUGGAGCAAUUAAAGACAAUGAAUACGAAGCGCCAUGAAUCCAAUCAUAUCAAGGUUCUAGUUAAAUACGAGACCGUGCAGUGGCUCGGUGUGUAG
RNAcentral lists this ribosomal RNA (675 nucleotides) under Triticum aestivum (bread wheat). Its description in RNAcentral is "partial small subunit ribosomal RNA". Lineage: Eukaryota; Viridiplantae; Streptophyta; Magnoliopsida; Poales; Poaceae. The record is from RNAcentral.